GAAAUAUGAAGUUCAAAUUUAAGCUUCUAACUUUAAAUUUAAACGAUUAAAUUUCGUUUAUAUUUCU
This 67-nucleotide transfer RNA is filed under the name Cladiucha magnoliae. RNAcentral's name for it is "tRNA-Ser". RNAcentral also lists the same sequence under 2 other names. The record is from RNAcentral. Lineage: Eukaryota; Metazoa; Arthropoda; Insecta; Hymenoptera; Tenthredinidae.